GUGGAGGGGAGCCACGGCCCUCGGGGUGGCGGGGCUCAGAGGGGUGCGGAUCCUGGCCAGCCGGGCGGACACUACCCGCCCCCAUGUCCUCACAGAGUCGGCACUCGGAGUGGGUGUCCUCUAGGGCCUCAUUCAUCGUGAGUGCCUCAUUUCAAGUAGCCACAUCCUGAGGUCCUGGGCCUUGCAAUCCCUGGGGACACGGUUCAGCCAUGACGGGCAGCACAUACGCCAAGUGCCCGCCAUGCCAGGCACUAAGGAUCAUGGGAUUUCCAUGACCAUCCCAUCAGGCCCAGGGCUCAUGGUCCAGCUCAGACCAGCCUCUGCCUCAGUAUGGAGGGAGCAUCACAGGCAGAGACCACAGCCCGGCCCCAGGACCAGGAGCUCGAGGCCGGGGGGGGAGCCUGCUGCUCAAGCAGGCAUGGGAGGGCUGCUGUCCUGUGAUAGUUAAUUGAUUAUAUCCACUUGCGUAAAUAACCCAACUAAAUUGGCUCAGCAUAGUUCACCCUAGGGAAGAUUAUCACCAAAAUGGGUAUAAAAGGGAAACGAAGAAGGAAGGAUGGCUUCUGUGUCUUUGGAGAAGCUCAUCUUCAACUUCACCUUGGACGUCAUCUCCUGGCUUCUCACAGACCCUUCAGCCUCCUAACAUGGACUCGCGUGGGACACUACAGUGAGCACCAGCCUUUGACUGGAUCCUUCAGAUCUCCAGUGUGCAGACAGCCCCUUUCCACUCUUCCACGCCUGACUCUGUGGGUGGCCAUUUAUCUCCUACUGAAGGGGAACAGUUGUCACAGAAGAUGAACCUAUGUGAUGUGGCAUCUUCAUCCAGCAUCCACAGGCGACAUCGGGCCCACACUUCGUGUCUGACCCUGUGGACUGAUGACAUGUGUCCACUGUUGUGGUGUUGUGCCGAGGAGUUUCACUGCCUGGAAAGUCCCCUGUGCUCCACCUGGUCAUCCUCCCUCCUCGCUCUGUAACCACCCAUUAUUUUACCUUUUCCAGAACGUUGUAUGAUUGUAACCAUACAGAAU
Molecule: long non-coding RNA, 1028 nt
Filed under: Heterocephalus glaber (naked mole-rat)
Lineage: Eukaryota; Metazoa; Chordata; Mammalia; Rodentia; Bathyergidae
Description: lncRNA (ENSHGLG00000033817.1)
Source: RNAcentral